AUGUGCGAUCAUACCGGCAUUAGUGCACUGGAUCCUGUCAAAACUCUGUAGUUAAGCACGCUUGGUCUAGAGUUGUACUGGGAUGGGUGACCUCCCGAGAAGUCCUAGUGUUGCACCCU
Picea glauca (white spruce) is the source of this 119-nucleotide non-coding RNA. NCBI's taxonomy places the organism in Eukaryota, Viridiplantae, Streptophyta, Pinopsida, Pinales, Pinaceae. The record is from Rfam.